RNA transcript from Cucumis melo (muskmelon), 1883 nucleotides. It is a transcript of the gene named probable sugar phosphate/phosphate translocator At3g14410, with no coding region annotated. The record is from RefSeq and is a predicted model, not a curated record. The transcript is spliced from 9 exons. NCBI's taxonomy places the organism in Eukaryota, Viridiplantae, Streptophyta, Magnoliopsida, Cucurbitales, Cucurbitaceae.
AGAAAAAAUUCCAUAUCCAUUCCUUCUCGCUUUGCUGCUUCUCUACUCUGUUUUCUCUCUCUUUUACGCGGUUUUUUUCCUCCUAUCGAUAUUAUACGAAUCUGAAAUCCAUUGCAAAUGACAUUCAAUUCAUCCACCCAAUUCAUCAACUAGGAAGCUUGAACAAUCGUUUUCUUAGACCCUGCUGUUGACAACGGACAAUGGCGGAUCGCCGAGCCGAAGGUUUUUUCAAAGGGGAGGUGCUCACUUAUGCUUACCUUCUUCUCUAUAUUGCUCUCUCCAGUGGCCAGAUCUUCUUCAACAAGUGGGUCUUGUCCUCAAAGGAGAUCAACUUUCCUUAUCCUCUUGCUUUGACUCUACUCCACAUGAUCUUCUCGUCCAUCUUAUGUUUUAUACUCAUUAAAGUGUUUAAGGUUUUGAAGAUCGAGGAAGGUAUGAGUGCAGAAAUGUAUGCUACAUCAGUAAUCCCAAUUGGUGCAACCUUUGCAAUGACUCUUUGGCUGGGGAACACUGCUUACCUGUAUAUCUCUGUUGCCUUCGCACAAAUGCUCAAAGCAAUAAUGCCAGUUGCCGUCUUUGUUCUUGGAGUAGCAGCAGGUCUUGAGUUAAUGAGCUGUAGAAUGUUACUGAUCAUGUCAGUGAUAAGUUUUGGUGUUCUAGUGGCUUCAUAUGGAGAAAUAAACAUCAGUUGGAUUGGUGUUGUUUACCAAAUGGGAGGCGUUGUAGGGGAAGCUCUAAGACUAAUUUUCAUGGAGAUCCUUGUUAAAAGAAAGGGCCUAAAAUUAAAUCCUAUUUCUAUCAUGUACUAUGUUAGUCCCUGCAGUGCCCUUUGCCUGCUCAUUCCAUGGAUCUUUCUGGAGAAACCAAAGAUGGAAGAACGUGAAUCAUGGAACUUUCCUCCUGUUAUACUAGUGCUCAACUCUCUAUGUACUUUUGCUCUCAACCUCUCAGUUUUCCUUGUUAUUACACAUACAAGUGCCUUGACUAUUCGUGUUGCUGGAGUUGUCAAGGACUGGGUUGUGGUCUUACUGUCAGCUCUUUUAUUUGCGGAUGUAAAGUUGACUGUUAUUAAUCUCUUUGGGUAUGGCAUUGCCAUUGCCGGAGUUGUGGCAUACAACAAUCACAAGUUGAAAAAGGAAGCUUCACGAAGAAGUCCUAAUGAUUCUGAUCAGCUUGAAUCCAUCCCAAUGGUCACAUCCUCGUCCAGCAACAAAUAGUUACUUUGUUUUGGAAGUUUAAUGUAGUUAUCCUGAGGUGCACCUUUUAAUGUAUUGUGUACACUUUUCACAGCUGCUCCUGCGAUAAGGAACGUAAGUUUGCUUAUGGUAGGGACAGAUUCAGACGUAUAGAGAUAUGCUAUCCACAGUUCGGAACGUAAGUUUACCAUCCACAAUUGUUAAAAGUAAAGAUCAACUGACCUGCAUCCUUUGGCAUUUUUGUACCUUCCAAUGUUCAAUUUUCAUACCCCACACCGAUGAACUGACGAGCAGUGACAGAAUCUCUCGCUGUUUAAGCAAAAUGAAAGCAUAUGGCAAUUGUCAGGAAAUUUGAACCAUGGUGUUAACAAACGUGAAUUUAUGAAGUGUGGGGUUGGAAAGUUCCAGGUUUAUGUAACUCAUUGUAGAAAGGAAGAGGGAGAAAGAGAGUUAUAGAACUUUGGAACUUUGUAAUUUGUGAUUGAAUUGCGGCUUUAUGACUUGAAAAGAUGGUUGUACUAUAAGUAGUAGUUUUCCAUUAGUUCUAGUUUAUGAAUGGUUCACCAUACUCCUUUACUCUCGUGGAUAAAAGAGAUGCAAGAGAGUUAUAAUGAAUUAUUUAUUUUCUUUUGAGGAUAUAGUGGUGGAGAGGAUAUCAAUGAAUGUUUUAUUUCUCCUUCGCAGAUA